Chelonia mydas (Green sea turtle) is the source of this 1419-nucleotide long non-coding RNA. RefSeq lists it as uncharacterized. The transcript is spliced from 2 exons. NCBI's taxonomy places the organism in Eukaryota, Metazoa, Chordata, Testudines, Cheloniidae. The record is from RefSeq and is a predicted model, not a curated record.
AACCUCUCUUUAUAAUGCGCAUGAUAAUCAAGGUGGGUCAUUUCCAGCACUAAUCCAGGUUUUCUCACCCCCCCCCCCCCCAUAGAGGAUAUGUUGCUGCUUACGCUGAAUCGUAGCUGUCGCAUUUCCCUUUGGGUGAGGGGGUAAGCGGUUUCCAAAGAGGUAAAAAGGUGCCUGCCAAUAUGGUUAUAUAGCUGGUCCUGCUGAAGUUGUUCUUGCUGGGAAACCAGGACACAAUAAUGUUGGUUGGCUUGUCCAUAUUUUCUUCUCCUUCACUAGGAACUUGUAGGAAACCAUACCUUGAGUCCAUGCUGGUGCUGAACCAGAGUACAGAUCCUUUGUUUCCAUUUGUCUUGCUCUUGUUAUGGGUCUGGGAGCAGGCUUUUCAGGAAGCAGGUGUCUUGGGUAUUCAAGGAUUAUUUUCAUUCUGCCUGCCCUGUUUGUAACAUUCUUGUGGUACCUUGCCCUGGGUCAGCAGGAGCUCUGGAGUGUUGGCACUGUUGUAGCAGGAGAGGUGUGAUCGUGCAUAUGAAGGACGUCUGUUUUUAUAUUUCAUUCGACAGAGAAGAAAACUAUGCCAAGAAUGGGCCAUAAUGAGAAGAGAGCAGUUAGCCUGACCUGCUCAAAUGUGCUGUGCAGGACUCACUCCGGGUUCAGCAUUCCCAAUGGGGCCUGGAAACCUCUGCAGAGUCUCUUCUGUAAACUGCAAGCAGGAUGUGAGACUCCGAGAGUUCCUGGCCCUUGUGAUUAGAAACGAGCUGAUUGGGCUCUUGAGAGCAGUGACUAUUUUAAAUGACCUUUUAGACAGGCAUCUUACGAUUUUCUCCCUCCUGCCUCCUCCCCGUUUUUGGUCUGUCCCUCACCUCCUGACCAGUUCUGUACAGCUACAGGAGUUAACCAGCUUUCUUCCCCUAACUAAUCUUGGGCUGUCUCCCACCCCCCCGUGCAGUUCAGUUGUUUUUCUAUGCCACCCAAAUAGCAGCUGAUCCUUCUAGUGUGAGUGACCUCCCAAGGCAAUAGGUGGGCAGGCAUACCUGAACAGAAGACUGCUUAUCUGCUGCUUCAGGCAGAGACAUGACUCCACACCUGAAACAAAUCCACUUUCACAGCUGUGCUCAGAAGAAGUGAAGCCUGUCGUUUUGCGACUCUUUUGCUAAUGCUUACUUAAAUGCGGAGUGCUUGACUUAUGUGUUACGUUCUUUUCUCUCCCACUCCACCCCCCCCCCCGAUCAAAUAUCACAAGAUUGAGGUUCAUUUUUAAAUUGCUCCUCUCCCACCACCACAGCUAAGCUUUUAUCCAAUCAAAGAUGUCCAUGACUUAAAAAAAUCACCUGCAGGGUUGCAGCAUUAAUCACAGCUAGUGCAUGAGAAUCAAAGUGAAACUGGCUAGAAAUUAAAGUGAAAUAUGCUGGUCUCUUU